Long non-coding RNA from Halichondria panicea, 5193 nucleotides. RefSeq lists it as uncharacterized. The record is from RefSeq and is a predicted model, not a curated record. The transcript is spliced from 3 exons. NCBI's taxonomy places the organism in Eukaryota, Metazoa, Porifera, Demospongiae, Suberitida, Halichondriidae.
GAACAAGAAAUCAGACGAGAGCAUAACUCCAAUCCGUUACAACGUCAAUCACAUGUAUACUGGUAGUUUUCCCAGCCAAUAUGCCACGCAAUUUUUACUGGUGGAGUGAUGACCAAUCCCUAUAUAUAUUUAUUAUACAUCCAUUUUAGAAUGUGGGGCACAUAAUCAUGAUGAUUUGUGAUGAAUUGAUGUUCCUAAUACAUGCAGUGUUGAGCACAGGUACACACAGUCCAUCCAUGCGUAGUAACAUGCACGGACCGUACUGGUGAAUGAUGUGGUGGAUGGAAGCUGAUAGGUGGAUCUGGAACACAGUCUAUUAUUUAAUAUACUAUGUAUUGUACAUGUUCAUGACGUUGUAACGGAUUGGAGUUAUGCUCUCGUCUGAUUUCUUGUUCCCACGCUUUUUUGUGGUUCCCCUGGCCAAUCCUAGCAAUUUUUCACAUUGCAAAUGUUUUUCUAGUCGGAUUCCCUUUCUUUUUCAGUACAGUUUACGUAUCAUGACAUGCAUAAGUGGAACGUCAAGAGGCAGUACAAGAAGAGAAGACAGGACUAAUCAGAUAUCUUCUCGAAUAUCUCUGGACUAAUAAUUAGAGUAAUAAUUUAUUGCUUGAUAAUUAUGUUGAAUUUGCGAAUCAGUAUUAAAUGACAGCCAUUUUAAGAGCAUGAUAUCUAGCCAGUGCAUAUAGCAUGCCUGUCAGAGAAAGGGAGCUAGAGCUGAACAGUGUGAAGAAAAGGAACACCUCAGGCUCUGGAAAAGCACUGCUGCACUGAUUUUAGGCGCACGGUUUAUUAGCCACGCCUAUCUAUUAUUGGCCACAACACAAUUGCUGAGUCAUUAAAGAUGGCGGAAUUGUCUAGGUAAGAGAAAUAGAGACUGAGAGGUCAUCUGCCUCGUGGAAGCAAUCGCAAAUCUGAAGAAGCGCUUUGUAAUCCAGGUUGUAGUCGUUUGGAAACCCUGUGCAGAAUGUCCUGGAGAUGGCUGUACUUGGAGUAAAUGCUGGGCAAGAAACUUACUUACUUACUUACUUACUUACUCACUUACUUACUUAGUCAGUCAGACAAAGAGCGGUGAAACGUCGAAAUAGUGCAAUUUUUAAAAUGAAAAUAUUCAUUCAUUAAAAUGUUUAUGGAUUAUGAAAGGAGAGAUACAAAGAGAGAAAAGGCUAAAUAAACUAUCUGUUCAGCCAGUUUCUUGAUGUGGCCUUUCCCUGCAGAGAUAGAACAGUUUGAACAUGAGUCAAAAUAAUUGAAAUAUUGCUAAACACGGGCAAACCCACUGCCAAUCCUAUGUAAAACCUACUGGUUUUACUAAUUUAUAUUCUCUCCUGUAAGGAGAACGUGAUUAAUUAGUGGCGUGGCACAUCAAAAGGGGGCGUAGAAUUUCACCCAGGUGUUAUGCUGAGUUUGGUAAUAUGCUGAGUUUGGUAAUUAUAAUUGUCCGGCAAGGUGUUGGGUUUGGAUAGGGAUAGCCGCGGUUAUCAUAGUACCGCCCACCACGGAACUAAUUUUCAUUAUCAGCUCCUAGCCUUCCAUAUGGUUUGUCACAAUAGGUGCUGUCAAGUAGUUUUUAUCAGGAAACAUUAUGAAUCUCAUUAACAUCUGGCAAUGAAUAAAAUUAAUAUUAUCAGUGCCUGACCCAGGCCCAGAGCUACUAUUCAUCUAUGUGCUGACACCAAUGCUGACACCAAAGCAGAAGAGGUACAAAGAGAUCUGUGGUCUAAAUGUAGAUAAGUGCAAGACUAUGCGAAUGUCCCUAGUCUGCAGCAAACACUUCUCCAGCAAACUCUUCACAAACAGCAAACUCUGCAAUUUGUAUUUUCUUUUUUUAAUGGAAAGGGUUAAACAUAAAUUAUCGUGGAUGCUGUGCUUGAUUUAGAAAAGGUACGUAGUGUGUACAUGACAUUAGGUCGUGGUACUGAGAUGGCGCUUCGAGGCACUAUCACAGCUGACAACAAGGAGCUUCAAGGAUCUCGGUAGGGGGUACCAGUUUUGUCUAGCUGUUAUUAUUUUCGCAAACAGUGACAGUUUUCUUUAUUCAACUUCGUAGUCUACAGUAGUCAGGAUCUCCUGGUUUCCAACGGAAAAGUCAUCCAGCCAAGGCCAGAGCGAGGUAUCUCUUCCCUAGAUAGUGUGUAAAGUAAACUGAGUUAGUUUAGAGCCUGUUGUGUACUAUUCAAUUAUUAUUCUUUUCAAAGAAAGAUGCACCCAGUAACAGUUCUCUUCAAGCUAGCUAGUUACUCUGUCAGGACGUCAACCAGGGCGAGAUUUUAAUUCAGAGGUAAGCUUUGUGUGCAUAUGAUUAUAGCGAUGCUUAACUGAUAUUCUUCGUGUUCUCAUCCACAAUGUAUUCUGUUAUCAGUGAAUCAAAGUUUGGGCCAACAGAUUGGGCCAACAGAUUGCUUACAGUAAUGUGUGUGCGGGGUGUAUCUUUAUGUGCGUGCGUGUCUGUAUGUGUGCCCGCGCGGUGUGUGUAUCUGUGUCUGCCGUGCGGGUGUAUGUGCACACGCGCGCGCUUGUGUGUGUGUGUGUGUGUGUGUGUGUGCCCCCUGUGGUGUGCCCCCUGUGGCCCGUCAGAGGUACUCUGUAAAUUGCAAGAAAUCACCCAUGUAUAAAAUGGUACUUUAUACCAUGCUAAAUGCCAAAAGUUAUGCCUAGGCUUGUGUGAAGUUCCUGCUUGCUUCGUUGCUUGUUACAAUUCAAUUGGCUCACAUGUACAGAGUACAGAGGUUGAUUGCAUAAUAAUGUUCUGACCUUUUCAGGGGGCUUAUGAGUGUACUGUUUAUGAGUGUGCUGUCUACUUCCCAAGCUUUUGUGUGUUGAUAUGCAUUGUAAUUCUGUGCCUAAAGUUAAAUCUUUUUAUGAACUCCCAGUUUGUUGUAGGAUCACAAUUACUUUAAUUGCAUGUAAGGAGCCUAUAUAAUUCCCUCGAAAAUAUUUAGGAAGGUGCAAAGUGAGUGAUAUUGUAAUCAAUUUGAACUGCUUUAUUUAAUUAAGCAAUAAAAUACAAUUAAUUAGUUUGCUCCAUAAGGGUUGUUCCCUGUCACAUAAUUGAAAUAAUUAUGCUUUACUCGUUUGUAUGUAGGAUAGUAUGUAGGAUAUCUCGACGAGCGCCCUUUCCAGUAUCUCACUCAGGUCAGAAGACAAUUGGAAAUGACCGAGAAUGAUGCUAACACCAGGUGUCAAAAAUUGCAGGUGCUCUAGUGGUGUCAUGGUGACACUACAAUAAUUGUACACCAGCACAAACUGUCAAGAUUCAAUGUCAGAUUUACUCCUAAGGAUACAGAACCGGUAAAGUAGUAGAAAUAUUUGGGCUCAGGUCCUUUUGCCGAACAAGAUAAUGUUGACGGGAAGAUGAAGAGAACGAGACAGUGAAGAGAACGAGACAGUAUAUGCAUGAUAGUGUUAGUGUUAGUAUCCAUUAGUUCCAUUAGUUCAAUUUCAAAAAAGACAGUAAAAUACUAGUAAAAUUCCUUGUGCAGUCGUUGAGAGUGCAUUUAAUAGUAAAUCCAGGAUCACAUGAGUAGUGAGAAGAAGCUUCUCUGAAGGUGCAGAAAAAUCUCCUGAACAAUAUGAGCAUAUUGUGCGAUAACAAGAUCCAGCCAAAACGUCAGAGAGGGUACAUAGGUACUAGGUAUCUGUGUGUACAGGAAAAGUGCUUCUUGGUAACUCUAUUUAGUGCUACCCUAAAUCCUAAUUAGGUGAUAAUCACAUGAUCGGCCACAUGGGUCUAUAUUAAAAAUGGCAAAGCGUUUGGAGUCAAGCCAGGUGUGCGCCUACCUUCAGCAAGAGAUACCUAACAUCUCAAAGGAUGUACUAGACAAGCUAGAGGAGUACGAAUUGAGUGAGGAAUAAGUAGCACCACUACUACUGGGUGAUCGCUUAAAAAUCAGGAGAAUAACUUCAAAUGUAAGUAUGUAAAAAAUGUAAGUAUGUAAAGUUAUAUCUAUAACAAUUUAUCAGGUGUACAUUUUCUUGUUCAGCUGUUCAAAUUCUCCUGUACAUUCUCCUGUACCAUCUUGCACUUCUACUCCAAAACGUAGUGUAACCUCAAGGUACCAUGGAAGUGUCAAUAGUGAAUUUGAUGAUGAUGAUGACUCUCUGGAUGACUUAUCUUCGUCAAGCACUUCUUUUGGACUUGGACUGUCUGUGAAGGCUGCCAUCCCGUGUAUAAUUACUAUUUCAUUCAUUUAGGGAUGUGACGCACCAAUUGACAAGAAGCCCGAUAAUAAAGAAUCAGAGAUGGAUUAGUUAUUCCUGUUUGCUUCUCUACUUCUACUAACAAAGUCCUCGAGACAGGGUAUCUUACAAAGAAAGCAAAGCACGCGUGGAGAUUACUACUUCUUUAUCGACUCUUGUACUCGUGCACAGCCCACUCCCAGCACGGUAUGUCAGAGACUAGUCGAGAAGCAUACAAUUCUGCGGGACAAAGUGGAUAAUGGCUUGUGAUGAACCGUUUUUGCGUCAACUUCGAAAAAUCGGCCAGAUAGAGCUGAUAUCACUGUUCCUCCUGUCCCUCCUGCUACAAGGAAGGCAGAAACCACUUUGUCAUCAAUGGCUAACGUCACAUUUCAUUCUUGAAGCGGUCAUACCAAAGUGGUCUCUUCCAAGUAUGAUCACUCUCAUGGAGCUAGGGAGUGGAUCAAGACGGAAGGACCAACCGUAAAGCAGAUCUUGGAAAAAUUUCCCUGUUUGGGCGAACCAAGAAUUGUAAGAUGAUUGUGAUUGUGUGUGACAUGUUCUAGUUUUGCCAAAUCACUGGAGCUGUUGAGGAUGACUUUCAGCAGAAAUGGAUGAGUUUAAUAACUGAAGUAUUCUCACAUUGAGGAGAAAAGAGCUCUAAAGUAGCUGUUGUCGGAAUAUGCUGCUAUCGAAAGUGAAUCAGCAGGUAUUAUGUACUAAGUGCGUACAAUUAGCUAUAGAGUAACUACAUUUCAACACUCAUGAAUUAUACAGAUCAAACUGCAUCAUAUAUCCACGUCUGCUUUGCUUCUACUGAGUUACGUCUCAUUCUGUUAGUUAAUUUCCACGAGCAACAACAAACUGCAUAUUUUUUUGUGAUUUGUGAUUUGUGAUUCAUUUUGUUGUUCACAUGACCUUUGAAAUCAUUUAUACCGUGAAAUUAUACGCAACAGUUACUAUUUGUCAAUUUGACAUGGUAGAAAGUAUACUAUAGUGUUAUGGCAGCACCACAAU